ACGGGUGAGUAAUGCCUAGGAAUCUGCCUGGUAGUGGGGGAUAACGUUCGGAAACGGACGCUAAUACCGCAUACGUCCUACGGGAGAAAGCAGGGGACCUUAUGGCCUUGCGCUAUCAGAUGAGCCUAGGUCGGAUUAGCUAGUUGGUGAGGUAAUGGCUCACCAAGGCGACGAUCCGUAACUGGUCUGAGAGGAUGAUCAGUCACACUGGAGCUGAGACACGGUCCAGACUCCUACGGGAGGCAGCAGUGGGGAAUAUUGGACAAUGGGCGAAAGCCUGAUCCAGCCAUGCCGCGUGUGUGAAGAAGGUCUUCGGAUUGUAAAGCACUUUAAGUUGGGAGGAAGGGCAGUUACCUAAUACGUGAUUGUUUUGACGUUACCGACAGAAUAAGCACCGGCUAACUCUGUGCCAGCAGCCGCGGUAAUACAGAGGGUGCAAGCGUUAAUCGGAAUUACUGGGCGUAAAGCGCGCGUAGGUGGUUUGUUAAGUUGGAUGUGAAAUCCCCGGGCUCAACCUGGGAACUGCAUUCAAAACUGACUGACUAGAGUAUGGUAGAGGGUGGUGGAAUUUCCUGUGUAGCGGUG
This 585-nucleotide ribosomal RNA is filed under the name uncultured Pseudomonas sp. RNAcentral's name for it is "bacterial SSU rRNA". It matches the Rfam family "Bacterial small subunit ribosomal RNA", at positions 102 to 683 of the family's 1533-position model. The record is from RNAcentral. Lineage: Bacteria; Pseudomonadati; Pseudomonadota; Gammaproteobacteria; Pseudomonadales; Pseudomonadaceae.